CCUACGGGAGGCAGCAGUGGGGAAUAUUGGGCAAUGGGCGCAAGCCUGACCCAGCAACGCCGCGUGAAGGAAGAAGGCUUUCGGGUUGUAAACUUCUUUUCUGAGGGACGAAGAAAGUGACGGUACCUCAGGACUAAGCCACGGCUAACUACGUGCCAGCAGCCGCGGUAAGACGUAGGUGGCAGUCGUUAUCCGGAUUUAUUGGGUGUAAAGGGGGUGUAGGGGGGAAAGCAAGUCAGAUGUGAAAACUCAGGGCUCAACCCUGGGCCUGCAUUUGAAACUGUUUUUCUUGAGUGCUGGAGAGGCAAUCGGAAUUCCGGGUGUAGCGGUGAAAUGCGUAGAUAUACGGAGGAACACCAGUGGCGAAGGCGGAUUGCUGGACAGUAACCGACGCUGAGGCGCGAAAGCGUGGGGAGCAAACAGGAUUAGAUACCCUGGUAGUC
RNAcentral lists this ribosomal RNA (443 nucleotides) under uncultured bacterium. RNAcentral describes it as "partial 16S ribosomal RNA". It matches the Rfam family "Bacterial small subunit ribosomal RNA", at positions 338 to 795 of the family's 1533-position model. The record is from RNAcentral.